ACUGCAGACUAAAUAUUGUUGGCUCUGUGUCAAAUUGCUUGUUUUGUUCCUAGAUUCUUCAGUGCUGAUGGCCUGCUGCAUCCAGCAGAGUCGGAGUGAACCUACUGUAAGACAACAUCUCAAAGAUGCUAUUGACCACAAGACUAGUACAGGUUAUUAGAAACUGCACUGCACAGGACUUGCAGGACUUGUGAGGACUUCAGAUGAUACCAGUACUCAAAAGACCUUAGAUGAUGGCAACUAUAGAUGGACAUACAAACUACUGCCACUGCAAAAAAGAUUCUAAUUUGAAAGAAGUUUAUAAUGCAUGUUCGCUACUUCCAAUUCAGAAGACUGAAUCAGCCUGUGUAUCUGAAUGUUUCUCAUACUCACUCCUCUCUGCCGCGUCU
This is a long non-coding RNA of Carassius carassius (crucian carp), 389 nucleotides long. RefSeq lists it as uncharacterized. The record is from RefSeq and is a predicted model, not a curated record. The transcript has 3 exons. NCBI's taxonomy places the organism in Eukaryota, Metazoa, Chordata, Actinopteri, Cypriniformes, Cyprinidae.